UUGUUUUUCGUGCCUUUUUAGCUUUAGGCGUCCCAGAGGCAGAUGGGUGUUUUACAGACAUGGUCAAUGGGGGAAACGGCGUUUAACACUAAAAAGGUACGUGAUAAACACAAUGCAAAUUGGAGCACAGAGAAGUAGUAGUGCUGGUGUGAACUGAGAAAGUGAUACCCGGGAAGCUUGCUGGACGUGGUCAAAGUUUUUGUACAGAAUACUUCAUUAUCUUCACCAUUAGAAGUAAUUAUCUUUAUUAUUACAUUAUUAUAAUUAUUAUUAUUAAUAAUAUAAAAUUGUUGAUGUUGAUAUGACUGCAACUUUAUAGUCAUAACUUACAAGUACCUCACCAGGCAUCACACGCGACUCCACUGCCAGACGACCAGGUGAAUACACGAUGCAAAUUUAAACUGUCUUGAGCGCGUUAUUUAAAAAAUAGGUGCGUUUAAAUUAGCUUUUGGUAUUAACUGAACAAUCACGUUGUUCCAAAAACGCUUAAAUCAAACGCACGUAAAACGAGUUACCUGUAUAUAAAGUAAAAGAAUAAUAUCAUUUUAACACCUGUGCUGAACCGAUAUUCCAGCUCAGGAGUGCCACAAGAAACGUGAAGAUUAGUUAUUACAGAAAAACAAAAAAAAUUUAACCCAAAGUUGAUUGUAAAUACAUAAUGCCGCUCAGUCUCAUAUUUUCUCUCUUAAUUAUAUUAUAUUAAUAACUUUAAGCUUUGCAUAAAUCAUUGUUUAUCAAUUUUGAUACCUUACAAAUACUACUUUCUUUUUUACUUUUUCUACUUGUGUGUUUCACUUCAAUUAAUUUAACUUUUGUUUUGUUUUUAAGUAGUUUUGAAGAAAGCUACUUUAUACAAAUUUUAAUUUGUUCAAAGCAACAGUGUAGUACUGUACUUUAUUUUAAGUAAUACUUCCAGGUACUUUCUCCAUCACUGUUUAAAGCGGAUCUGAAUUGAGCUGGACCUGAUGUGAACUAGACUAAAGUGGGCUGGACGUGCAAGUGAAGGAGAUCUGAAGUUAACUGGACCUAAAGGACUAGAUAGUAAUUAAUUACUAUUUUCUGGUACUUUGAAUAUUAGGAUGGUUCUACAGGCAUUCCCCAGUUUAUAAGAGAGUUCUGUUCCUGAAAAACCUUUAGUAAAUCAGAUAAAUUUUCCCAUAGACUUCCAUUAUAAAAGCCGAGAUACUUUUCUAUAAUGAAAAUACUAACCCAAAAUGUCUUAACCCUUAAGCCCCGGGUGACGUUCCAGAACGUCUGCCUAUUUUCCCAUGACACAGAAGUGAGAGUUAACACUGUGGUGUUAAUAACUUUACUAAAGUGAGGAUAUUACUUCAAUAAUUAUGUAAGAGAUAAAAUCACAAAGUAACUUCAUGAAAUUACCGUUUACUGUAUCUUAAAGUAUAGUUAAGUCUUAAUGAUCAAAUUUUUAUGUAAAAAAUUGGGGUCAAACUAUACAUGCAUAAUAUUUUUGAGGGGUUACAAUUUAUGCAUUUCCAUGGGUCAUUUACAGUGAAUGAUAGUACCUGGUGCAGUACGCGCUUAUGGUAGGUUAACCUUACCAGUAAGCUCCUUUAUCCUGGGCUUGCCUACCGACCCCAAGAUCCUAUGUGGCUACAGGAAGAGCAGAACCUUUCACUAUACAGUAUAUGCUGGUUUAAAUAUACAAAUGCCUGAUAGAAUUGGUUUAGAUAUUUUUCUUUGCAUCUGUUUAAAUUACUGGGAGAUUAUCAACUUUCCCCACCUGUGAGCUGUAUGCUAUGUUAUGGUCAGAGUGAGGGAAGAUUGGACUAAAGUUAAUUGAGAGGGAAGACUGCUGGAGACAUAAUUGAAGAGUAUUACAGUGAGGGUGGGAAGGCUGGUGAUAUGAAUUAAAACUAUUCUCAUGUAAUGUAUAUGUGGGAGAAACUUGACUAGAACAUAAGACUUUACUGUACUGUAGCAGAAGAAGAGUGAGGAAACACCUUAGGAUAGACUGAAGUUUUAUACAAGCAAAGGAAGGAUAUGUGCCACUUAAUCUGCACUGGAUUAUUUUUUUAAUUUCUUCCACAUCCUAGGUUUAGGUUUCACUUCUUCAGAACUCAACCAUAAAGAGAGUCACCUAUCAACUGGAAUCAACUGAAUCUGACCAUCUUUCCCCGACCUUUAGGACGGGGUCAGAAGUCUAUUCUGGGAAGGAUGUUUUUGGACCAGCAUGCUUGUUUGUCCAGUGGUUCCAGGAGUCAGGAUCCUCUUGAGGGAGAAACCUGGCCCUCAGACUUGGCAUCAGCCAGGUUCAGGAGGAGACGUCUGGUCCUGCAGCAACACAGCACAGCACCUUAUAUCACGGCUCCUGUACAGAAGAAAACUUAUCUACUGAUUCUUGGCAGAUUAUGUUACCAUUUGAGGUGAACUGAAGCCUUGAUGUAAUAGUGAUUGAAGACUACAGUACAGGAGGAGAGAGAGUGUUAUCUGGCAUUGGUAUUAAAAUAGUUAGCAACUGUGUGUUAAUAACUUACAGGGUUCAGUUUAACACAGAUAGGCUCAUCAUAUAUUUUAAUAAAGUACAGGUAUCCCCCAAGAUACUUACAGUAUGUCCAAUAAAUGAACAAUCAUUAUUACAAAAAUAUCAGUUUGACUUGACAAAUUCCCCUCAGUCACAGGGUCAGUAUAGCCCAGUGGUGCAUUGGCACUAUUGCAGAAUGUUGGUUGUGUUUAAUGUAUUUAUUAUUUUACAAGAAUUAUAUUGGUGAAAAACCCA
Molecule: long non-coding RNA, 2737 nt
Filed under: Homarus americanus (American lobster)
Lineage: Eukaryota; Metazoa; Arthropoda; Malacostraca; Decapoda; Nephropidae
Description: uncharacterized LOC121877584
Source: RNAcentral